Rhagoletis zephyria (snowberry fruit fly) is the source of this 108-nucleotide long non-coding RNA. RefSeq lists it as uncharacterized. The record is from RefSeq and is a predicted model, not a curated record. NCBI's taxonomy places the organism in Eukaryota, Metazoa, Arthropoda, Insecta, Diptera, Tephritidae.
GAUUUUUUAUUUUCUGUAAAUUUCCAUAUAAAAUUCAAAAAAUUGAAAUCAUUUUCACUUACAUAGCUUUCGAGAAAUUGGCUGUAAGAAAUCAAAAUUUUUUUAAAU